CCUACGGGUGGCAGCAGUCGAGAAUCAUUCACAAUGGGGGAAACCCUGAUGGUGCGACGCCGCGUGGGGGAAUGAAGGUCUUGGGAUGUAAACCUCCUGUGAUGGGGGAGCACAGUAAAAGGUAAGUACCACAAGAGGCAGGGAUAGCUAAGUCCGUGCAGGCGCGGUAAUAAAUAGGUGGCAAGCGUUGUUCGGACGUACUGGGUGUAAAGGGCGCGUGGCCGGGCUGGUAAGUCAGGUGUGAAAGCCGGGGGCUCAACCCCCGCACGGCAUUUGAAACUGCGGGACUUGAGUAUCGGAGGGGCAGGCGGAAUUCCCGGUGUAGCAGUGAAAUGCGUAGAUAUUGGGAGGAACACUAGUGGCGAAGGCGGGUUGCUGGACAUUAACUGACGGUGAGGCGCGAAGGCCAGGGGAGCGAAAGGGAUUAGAUACCCGAGUAGUC
RNAcentral lists this ribosomal RNA (442 nucleotides) under uncultured bacterium. RNAcentral describes it as "partial 16S ribosomal RNA". It matches the Rfam family "Bacterial small subunit ribosomal RNA", at positions 338 to 795 of the family's 1533-position model. The record is from RNAcentral.